Molecule: ribosomal RNA, 497 nt
Filed under: uncultured bacterium
Lineage: Bacteria
Description: partial 16S ribosomal RNA
Rfam family: Bacterial small subunit ribosomal RNA
Source: RNAcentral
GAUGAACGCUGGCGGCGUGCCUAAUACAUGCAAGUAGAACGCUGAAGCUUGGUGCUUGCACCGAGCGGAUGAGUUGCGAACGGGUGAGUAACGCGUAGGUAACCUGCCUCUUAGCGGGGGAUAACUAUUGGAAGCGAUAGCUAAUACCGCAUAAAAGUCGAUAUCGCAUGAUAUUGAUUUGAAAGGUGCAAAUGCAUCACUAAGAGAUGGACCUGCGUUGUAUUAGCUAGUUGGUGAGGUAACGGCUCACCAAGGCGACGAUACAUAGCCGACCUGAGAGGGUGAUCGGCCACACUGGGACUGAGACACGGCCCAGACUCCUACGGGAGGCAGCAGUAGGGAAUCUUCGGCAAUGGGGGCAACCCUGACCGAGCAACGCCGCGUGAGUGAAGAAGGUUUUCGGAUCGUAAAGCUCUGUUGUAAGAGAAGAACGAGUGUGAGAGUGGAAAGUUCACACUGUGACGGUAACUUACCAGAAAGGGACGGCUAACUACGUG